This 275-nucleotide long non-coding RNA is filed under the name Hordeum vulgare. RNAcentral's name for it is "long non-coding RNA (HVUL_LNC009661)". Lineage: Eukaryota; Viridiplantae; Streptophyta; Magnoliopsida; Poales; Poaceae. The record is from RNAcentral.
UUUUUUUAAUCACCAUAUAUUUAAAGCACCAUUAAUACAUGAUGUAGACAGAAAAUAACUAGUUUUUCAUCUUUGAGUCCCAAAAACCCAUCUUCAACGAAUGAUGAAGAUGCAGAAAAAAAAUCUCCAACUUUCGAAGAUGCAAAAUACAACACCUCAAGAUGCAAAUAUACAUCUUCACCUACAAGAGAUGUAAAACGGCUUCAUUCGGCUUCCAACCGUCCGCCCGUCACGUGUCCGCCUCCGCCGCGGACCGAUUUCGACCAAAAUCGACG